Molecule: ribosomal RNA, 397 nt
Filed under: uncultured bacterium
Lineage: Bacteria
Description: partial 16S ribosomal RNA
Rfam family: Bacterial small subunit ribosomal RNA
Source: RNAcentral
AUACGUAGGUGGCAAGCGUUAUCCGGAUUUACUGGGCGUAAAGGGCGUGUAGGCGGUCUUGCAAGUCAGAAGUGAAAUUCCUGAGCUCAACUCGGGCGCUGCUUCUGAAACUGCAGGACUUGAGUGCUGGAGGGGAUAGCGGAAUUCCUAGUGGAGCGGUAAAAUGCGCAGAUAUUAGGAAGAACACCGGUGGCGAAGGCGGCUAUCUGGACAGUAACUGACGCUGAGGCGCGAAAGCGUGGGGAGCAAACAGGAUUAGAUACCCCGGUAGUCCACGCCGUAAACGAUGAAUACUAGGUGUAGGGGGUAUCGACUCCCUCUGUGCCGCAGUUAACACAAUAAGUAUUCCGCCUGGGGAGUACGGCCGCAAGGUUGAAACUCAAAUGAAUUGACGGGG